This 85-nucleotide transfer RNA is filed under the name Felis catus (domestic cat). It matches the Rfam family "tRNA". Rfam says of the family: Transfer RNA (tRNA) molecules are approximately 80 nucleotides in length. Lineage: Eukaryota; Metazoa; Chordata; Mammalia; Carnivora; Felidae. The record is from Rfam by way of RNAcentral. RNAcentral also lists the same sequence under 2 other names.
GCCUGGGUGGCUCAGUCGGUUGAGCGUCUGACUUCGGCUCAGGUCAUGAUCUCAUGGUCUGUGAGUUCGAGCCCCGCAUCAGGCU